RNAcentral lists this non-coding RNA (860 nucleotides) under Chamaesaura anguina. Lineage: Eukaryota; Metazoa; Chordata; Lepidosauria; Squamata; Cordylidae. The record is from RNAcentral.
CCCAAAACCAAAAAAAUGUUUUGGUCCUAAACCUGUCACUACUUUUUACUUGAUUUACACAUGCAAGCAUCUGCACCCCAGUGAGAAUGCCCAUAAGUUUAAUAACAAAUGGAGCUGGUAUCAGGCACACUUAUUAGCCAAUGACACCUUGCCCUGCCACACCCCCACGGGCCUACAGCAGUGAUUAAUAUUAUACAUAAGCGAAAGCUUGAUUUAGUUAAAGUAACAACUAAAGGCCGGUAAAUUUCGUGCCAGCCACCGCGGUUAUACGAAAGGCCUAAAAUAGUGACUCCCGGCGUAAAGCGUGGCCAGACCUGAUUAUAUAAGGAUGAACCUCUUCUUCGCUGUAAAACGCCUAAGAAGAAAUGAACACCAACCCUUAGACUAUUGACCCCACGAAAGCUAAGACACAAACUAGGAUUAGAUACCCUACUAUGCUUAGCCAUAAACUUAGAUAAUAUAAUACCACUUAUCCGCCAGAGAACUACAAGCAAAAUACUUAAAACUCAAAGGACUUGGCGGCAUUUCAUAUCAACCUAGAGGAGCCCGUCCAGUAAUCGAUAAUACGCGUUCAACCCUACCAUUUUUGGCAACUCCAGCCUAUAUACCGCCGUCGUCAGCUAACCUUGUGAAAGAACAAUAGUAAGCAAAAUAGCCUACACAAAAACGUCAGGUCAAGGUGUAGCUCAUAAAAUGGAUGUGAUAGGCUACAUUUUCUACUUUAGAAAACACGGAUAAUACAAUGAAACUUGUAUAAGAAGGUGAAUUUAGAAGUAAACUAAGACAGGACCCUUACUUUAACACCGCCCUGAAAUGCGCACACACCGCCCGUCACCCUCCUCAAAAUUAGAUGAGGCAAG